CUCACACACAUGUGUGUAGGACCCUAAAAGAUCACCGUUAAAUUUGGCACAGAUCUCUAAAAAAGUUAUCAUAUGGGUGUGAGACUUGAUUUUUCUAAAGAUCUGUGUCAAAUUUAAUGGUGAUCCUUUGGGGUCCUACACACAUGGGUGUGAG
Molecule: microRNA precursor, 154 nt
Filed under: Amborella trichopoda
Lineage: Eukaryota; Viridiplantae; Streptophyta; Magnoliopsida; Amborellales; Amborellaceae
Description: MIR8565 microRNA precursor family
Rfam family: MIR8565 microRNA precursor family
Source: Rfam by way of RNAcentral